RNAcentral lists this transfer RNA (66 nucleotides) under Macracanthorhynchus hirudinaceus (giant thorny-headed worm). RNAcentral's name for it is "transfer RNA-Tyr". Lineage: Eukaryota; Metazoa; Acanthocephala; Archiacanthocephala; Oligacanthorhynchida; Oligacanthorhynchidae. The record is from RNAcentral.
GGUUAAUUGUCCGAUUAAGGUGUAAUACUGUAGAUAUUAUAAUUAUAUUAACUAUCAUAAUAAACA